GAAAUGCGAUACGUAAUGCGAAUUGCAGAAUUCAGUGAAUCAUCGAAUCUUUGAACGCAACUUGCGCUCUCAUUUGCGUGGGAGCAUGCCUCUUUCAGUAUCGGUUCCAUCUCACUCGCGUGUGCCUCUUUGAGUGCGCGCGCGGAAACUGAGGCGCGCUGUGCGCUACACGCACAGCGCCCUUGAAGUGUCCAGUGGAGUUUGUCGUGCUCGCUGAGAAAGUGACGUGGGUAACCGAAAAACGCACACACAUGUCAUCUUUCGUUUGCAGGCGAGCUGUAACACAAGCGUACGGUGUGCUGUGCGUGCAAACAAACACGCACAAGCACACCAAAACACACUACCAUCUCGAUCUGAAAUGAGGCAAGAACACCCGCUGAAUUUAA
RNAcentral lists this unclassified non-coding RNA (386 nucleotides) under uncultured fungus. Its description in RNAcentral is "sequence contains ITS1". The stretch from base 1 to 103 matches the Rfam family "5.8S ribosomal RNA", at positions 50 to 154 of the family's 154-position model. Lineage: Eukaryota; Fungi. The record is from RNAcentral.